This 102-nucleotide Y RNA is filed under the name Neotoma lepida (desert woodrat). It matches the Rfam family "Y RNA". From Rfam's summary of the family: Y RNAs are components of the Ro ribonucleoprotein particle (Ro RNP), in association with Ro60 and La proteins. Lineage: Eukaryota; Metazoa; Chordata; Mammalia; Rodentia; Cricetidae. The record is from Rfam by way of RNAcentral.
GGUUGGUCAGAGAGCAGAAGUGUGCACAAACAGCUGAUCCCAGNCAGCUACAGAUGUCUUUGCCACUUCUCCACUCCCAUUGCUUCACUUGACCCACCUUAG